Molecule: ribosomal RNA, 277 nt
Filed under: Vibrio parahaemolyticus
Lineage: Bacteria; Pseudomonadati; Pseudomonadota; Gammaproteobacteria; Vibrionales; Vibrionaceae
Description: partial 16S ribosomal RNA
Rfam family: Bacterial small subunit ribosomal RNA
Source: RNAcentral
GAAAUGUUGGGUUAAGUCCCGCAACGAGCGCAACCCUUAUCCUUGUUUGCCAGCGAGUAAUGUCGGGAACUCCAGGGAGACUGCCGGUGAUAAACCGGAGGAAGGUGGGGACGACGUCAAGUCAUCAUGGCCCUUACGAGUAGGGCUACACACGUGCUACAAUGGCGCAUACAGAGGGCGGCCAACUUGCGAAAGUGAGCGAAUCCCAAAAAGUGCGUCGUAGUCCGGAUUGGAGUCUGCAACUCGACUCCAUGAAGUCGGAAUCGCUAGUAAUCGU